GCCCGUGGGGGGUGCUAUAAUGCAGUCGAGCGACAGAGAAGGAGCUUGCUCCUUUGACGUUAGCGGCGGACGGGUGAGUAACACGUGGGCAACCUACCCUAUAGUUUGGGAUAACUCCGGGAAACCGGGGCUAAUACCGAAUAAUCUAUGUCACCUCAUGGUGACAUACUGAAAGACGGCAUCUCGCUGUCGUUAUAGGAUGGGCCCGCGGCGCAUUAGCUAGUUGGUGAGGUAAUGGCUCACCAAGGCGACAAUGCGUAGCCGACCUGAGAGGGUGAUCGGCCACACUGGGACUGAGACACGGCCCAAACUCCUACGGGAGGCAGCAGUAGGGAAUCUUCCACAAUGGGCGAAAGCCUGAUGGAGCAACGCCGCGUGAGUGAAAAAGGUUUUCGGAUCGUAAAACUCUGUUGUAAGGGAAAAACAAGUACAGUAGUAACUGGCUGUACCUUGACGGUACCUUAUUAAAAAGCCACGGCUAACUACGUGCCAGCAGCCGCGGUAAUACGUAGGUGGCAAGCGUUGUCCGGAAUUAUUGGGCGUAAAGCGCGCGCAGGCGGUCCUUUAAGUCUGAUGUGAAAGCCCACGGCUCAACCGUGGAGGGUCAUUGGAAACUGGGGGACUUGAGUGCAAAAAAGGAAAGUGGAAUUCCAAUUGUAGCGGUGAAAUGCGUAGAGAUUUGGAGGAACACCAGUGGCGAAGGCGACUUUCUGGUCUGUAACUGACGCUGAGGCGCGAAAGCGUGGGGAGCAAACAGGAUUAGAUACCCUGGUAGUCCACGCCGUAAACGAUGAGUGCUAAGUGUUAGGGGGUUUCCGCCCCUUAGUGCUGCAGCUAACGCAUUAAGCACUCCGCCUGGGGGAGUACGGUCGCAAGACUGAAACUCAAAGGAAUUGACGGGGGCCCGCACAAGCGGUGGAGCAUGUGGUUUAAUUUCGAAGCAACCGCGAAGAACCUAACCAGGU
RNAcentral lists this ribosomal RNA (965 nucleotides) under Lysinibacillus xylanilyticus. RNAcentral's name for it is "bacterial SSU rRNA". It matches the Rfam family "Bacterial small subunit ribosomal RNA", at positions 35 to 979 of the family's 1533-position model. The record is from RNAcentral. Lineage: Bacteria; Bacillati; Bacillota; Bacilli; Caryophanales; Bacillaceae.